This 379-nucleotide ribosomal RNA is filed under the name uncultured bacterium. RNAcentral describes it as "bacterial SSU rRNA". It matches the Rfam family "Bacterial small subunit ribosomal RNA", at positions 338 to 708 of the family's 1533-position model. The record is from RNAcentral.
CCUACGGGAGGCAGCAGUGGGGAAUUUUGGACAAUGGGCGCAAGCCUGAUCCAGCAAUGCCGCGUGCAGGAUGAAGGCCUUCGGGUUGUAAACUGCUUUUGUACGGAGCGAAAACGGUCUGUUUUAAUACAGUAGGCUAAUGACGGUACCGUAAGAAUAAGCACCGGCUAACUACGUGCCAGCAGCCGCGGUAAUACGUAGGGUGCGAGCGUUAAUCGGAAUUACUGGGCGUAAAGCGUGCGCAGGCGGUUAUAUAAGGCAGAUGUGAAAUCCCCGGGCUCAACCUGGGACCUGCAUUUGUGACUGUAUAGCUAGAGUACGGUAGAGGGGGAUGGAAUUCCGCGUGUAGCAGUGAAAUGCGUAGAUAUGNGAGACACGA